GUCUCCAGGAAGGGGCAGUACCACUUUGUCACAAGAGCCCUGUAGCUCGCUGGAUAUUUUCUAACCAACCCGUGUGUUAUUGGAGCUCUGGAGCAGUCGCUGUCCGACUUGCUGGGCUCCUCUGGGCAGAAAGUGGAGUUAGUAUUGUCCGAUCAACAAUGACCUGAUUGAAUGGCGGAGCUGUCUCGAUGGGGUGAAUGACCCACAUCUGCACCUGUGCCUUAAGAUCUAAAGAUGCUGCCAGAUUUACUGAAUUCCUCCAGCAUUUUCUGUUUUUGCUCCACAAACAAAAAGCUGUCACUUAACCACAUCAGGAUGAAGCAUUGGCAGGUAGUGAAGCAGUGAGGCAGAAAGCUCAUGGGACGGAAUGGACAGAAACGUUCAGAGCUUUUUUGGUUGAAAUGAGUUCAAUCUUUCCAAGUGACUGCCGAAUCGAUUCAUGUGGAGAAAGUGAGGACUGCAGAUGCUGGAGAUCAGAGUCGAGACUGGAAAAGCACAGCCGGUCAGGCAGCGUCCGAGGAGCAGGAGAAUCGAAACGUCAAUUCAUGUUAUCAAUCUUUGUUAUAUUUGUUGUUUUAUGUGGAGGGUACAGUUUAUAUUGACUGUUAAUUUGUGUUUGAUUUGAUUGUUUCUGCUCUGACUGUAACAAGAUCAGCCAGCUGGACAUCAUAAGAUCUGAGGUCCCUGAUUGGAGCGAUUAAUUUGGUCCAAUUAGGGAACCCUGGUUGACAUAUCGAAAGGGUGACACUUUCAAAGUAACUGACACUCUGGAGCCUGACUCUGAAUGAGGCAAUACUAUAGUCAAGGACAAUUAUGUGUCAAUAAUGGGUGACUUGGUGAUGGGAUCCAACCUCUGUGGAUUUAUUUCACUUUCAUUAAAAUGUAUUAUACGUGAAACUUUGUCUCAUUGCGUGAAUUUGACCACUUUGCUUCCUUUUGUUCAUUGAUCUCCACACGGAUCACACGAAAUUGGAGUUUAGCCAAGAAUGAUCUGAGUUAGGCUUUGAAAAGAGUCUUUUGGAGCUUUCCAGAAUUUGUAUGAAUGGUAUUUUGCAGUUAUUUCUGCUGUAUUUAUUGGGGAAUUAACAGGAAUAUCUUUAAUGGCUCAGUACUUUGUAAAGAGUGAAGAUUUUCAUCUUACAGAAUCAUAGAGGUGUACAGCACAGAAAAAAGGUCGUUCAGCCCAUCAAGUCUGUGCAACCCAAAAGCAACCCAAUAGAGUAUUCUCAUCCCAUUUUCCAACAGUAGGCCCCAAGCCUUGUAGUCGCAAAUACACGUCUAAAUACUUCCUCAAUGCUAAGUGGGUCUCUGCCUCUUACAGGCAGUGGGUUCCAGAUUCCAAAAACCCUCUGAGUGAAAAGAUAUUUCCUCAUAUUCCCUGUAGCUUCCUGUCCCUUAUCUUAGAUACCUCUGAGGGGUUUGAAUAACUAAUCAAAGAUAAUUUUGCAGAGAAAAUCAGGACCUAAGAAAGUAGGUUGUUAAAGAGUUGGCUGGGUAUCUGAAGUUAAAGAAAGAAGCAGAAUUUUCCAUGCAGACAUUAACCUCUGGUGAUGAAUGUGUUGAAUGGAUUCAUAUCUGCCAACACAUGGGGUGAGUUAUCUCGCACUAUCAUUUGGUUUUCAGUGCAUUAUUUCGGGAGGUGCAAUGUGUGUGAGUUACUUGGCAUAUUGUGUGGCAGGUCGGCUGGACAUUUGUGCUUGCACCUCUGGGAUUGUCUUUAGUUUGAAAGGCAGUGUAUUUAAAGGAAAUUAGGACAUCACUUCAGAUGCUGCAGGCUCAGAGCUUCUCCAUCAGCCUGUGAUGAUAAAUGUCAUGAGAACAGAAAUG
Chiloscyllium plagiosum (whitespotted bambooshark) is the source of this 1827-nucleotide non-coding RNA. The record is from RefSeq and is a predicted model, not a curated record. Lineage: Eukaryota; Metazoa; Chordata; Chondrichthyes; Orectolobiformes; Hemiscylliidae.